Molecule: ribosomal RNA, 506 nt
Filed under: uncultured bacterium
Lineage: Bacteria
Description: partial 16S ribosomal RNA
Rfam family: Bacterial small subunit ribosomal RNA
Source: RNAcentral
GACGAACGCUGGCGGCGUGCUUAACACAUGCAAGUCGAACGGUGAAGGGACUGGUUUUGCUGGUCCUGGAUGAGUGGCGAACGGGUGAGUAACACGUGAGUAACCUGCCCCCUUCUUCUGGAUAACCGCAUGAAAGUGUGGCUAAUACGGGAUAUUCUGGGUCUGUCGCAUGGUGGGCCUGGGAAAGAUUGCGCCUUUUUUGGUGUUUUUGGUGGGGGAUGGUGUCGCGGCCUAUCAGCUUGUUGGUGGGGUGAUGGCCUACCAAGGCGGUGACGGGUAGCCGGCCUGAGAGGGUGGACGGUCACACUGGGACUGAGGCACGGCCCAGACUCCUACGGGAGGCAGCAGUGGGGAAUAUUGCACAAUGGGCGCAAGCCUGAUGCAGCGACGCCGCGUGAGGGAUGGAGGCCUUCGGGUUGUGAACCUCUUUCGCCAGUGAAGCAGGCCUGCCUCUUUUUGUGGGUGGGUUGACGGUAGCUGGAUAAGAAGCGCCGGCUAACUACGUG